UAGCAAGAUUAACUUUUUUAUUAAUUUUCUCGAAGCCUAAGGAGUUACUUUAUUACUGUUUUUAGACGGAAAAUGUAAAUGUAGCAAAAUUUUAUUUAUAUUAUAAAGUAGAAAUGAAAUUUUUUUCGUAUUAGGAGAUAGCUAGUUUCGACAGAAAUAUAUUUACGUGUAGGUAAUCAGGUAGGUAUAGGCUAUAAAUAGCUUAGAUAAUAUUAUUGAUUUUUCUGGCCCCUAGAAGGGUGAGCUUAUAGGGGAAAAAUUGUAGUAUAAGGUAAAAGUUUGCUAGCAUCUAAGCUUGAAAUUAGCUAAGAUCAGAAGCUUGUUUUAAAGUAUUAAUGUACCGUUGUGCAUUGCUUAAGUUAGGUUGAUAAAUACCUAAGCUAAGAGGUGUUGUAUUUAUGCUAAAAUGAGUAUUCUGUGGAUGAUUGAAAACUAAAAUUGAUUGUUUAAUUAAGAAUAAUGGGUUAAUUUAAAAUGUGAAAAAGGAACUCGGCAUCUAUGCUUCGCCUGUUUAGCAAAAACAUGGCUCUUUG
This 533-nucleotide ribosomal RNA is filed under the name Cyclotus taivanus. RNAcentral describes it as "partial 16S ribosomal RNA". Lineage: Eukaryota; Metazoa; Mollusca; Gastropoda; Architaenioglossa; Cyclophoridae. The record is from RNAcentral.